This 648-nucleotide long non-coding RNA is filed under the name Homo sapiens (human). RNAcentral describes it as "novel transcript". Lineage: Eukaryota; Metazoa; Chordata; Mammalia; Primates; Hominidae. The record is from RNAcentral.
UGGUUCUGCCAUGGACAAGCUGAAGUCUCUCUGAGACCAGGGGACCCGCAUGGCCCAGCCACCCCACCCCACCAUCUCCCAGGCAUGUGAGAAAAUAUCACAUUCUCUGUGUUUUGGAGAUUUCUUCUAAAUGUAUUUUCCAACUAUCAUUUCAUAGCAAAUCAGCGAGAAAAAAGGUAUAAUAUUAGGCAGAAACCCAAUAUAAAAAGAAAAGCAGAGUUGUUGUAGAUUCAUCGAGGGUUGGCGACCUGGUUCCAAUGAGCCAUCUCCCUGUUCCGACAGGGGCUUCCUGGAGCUCCUGCAACCCCAGGCAUUAGUUCCGGUGCAGUUCUAGGAUCAGAUCAAUUCACUCGACAACAAGAGAAACAAAUGGAGAUUCCUACACAAAGACUUUCAAGCACAAAGAAAUCCUGCUGCCUGUAAAGCGGAGCUGCCUCAGCCCUUGAUGAACGACAGAAAAUACCACCUACUGCCAGACCUCAACGCCUCACAAAACUCUCACCCACCUACUGCUUUUAGCUCACAUUCCAGGAAUUCAGAUGAAGUGAAGUGCUCUCAUGGGGACCAGGCAUGGUUAUGCCAGUCCACUGCCCUGCAAGCCUCAAGGGAAGCCAACUGCCCUUCAGCAAGUCACACCUGCCUUGGUGG